RNAcentral lists this ribosomal RNA (253 nucleotides) under uncultured bacterium. RNAcentral's name for it is "partial 16S ribosomal RNA". It matches the Rfam family "Bacterial small subunit ribosomal RNA", at positions 524 to 776 of the family's 1533-position model. The record is from RNAcentral.
UACGAAGGGGGCUAGCGUUGUUCGGAAUUACUGGGCGUAAAGCGCAUGUAGGCGGCGAUUCAAGUCGGGGGUGAAAUCCUGAGGCUCAACCUCAGAACUGCCUUCGAUACUGUAUUGCUAGAGUAUGGAAGAGGUUGGUGGAACUGCGAGUGUAGAGGUGAAAUUCGUAGAUAUUCGCAAGAACACCAGUGGCGAAGGCGGCCAACUGGCCCAUCACUGACGCUGAGAUGCGAAAGCGUGGGGAGCAAACAGG